This 497-nucleotide ribosomal RNA is filed under the name uncultured bacterium. Its description in RNAcentral is "partial 16S ribosomal RNA". It matches the Rfam family "Bacterial small subunit ribosomal RNA", at positions 28 to 507 of the family's 1533-position model. The record is from RNAcentral.
GAUGAACGCUGGCGGCGUGCCUAAUACAUGCAAGUCGAGCGAACAGACGAGGAGCUUGCUCCUCUGACGUUAGCGGCGGACGGGUGAGUAACACGUGGAUAACCUACCUAUAAGACUGGGAUAACUUCGGGAAACCGGAGCUAAUACCGGAUAAUAUAUUGAACCGCAUGGUUCAAUAGUGAAAGACGGUUUUGCUGUCACUUAUAGAUGGAUCCGCGCCGCAUUAGCUAGUUGGUAAGGUAAAGGCUUACCAAGGCAACGAUGCGUAGCCGACCUGAGAGGGUGAUCGGCCACACUGGAACGUAGACACGGUCCAUACUCCUACGGUAGGCAGCAGUAGGGAAUCUGCCGCAAUGGUCGAAAGCCUUACGGAGCAACGCCGCGUGAGUGAUGAAGGUCUUCGGAUCGUGAAACUCUGUUAUUGGGGAAGAACAAAUGUGUAAGUAACUAUGCACGUCUUGACGGUACCUAAUCAGAAAGCCACGGCUAACUACGUG